GAUGAACGCUGGCGGCGUGCCUAAUACAUGCAAGUCGAGCGAACAGAUGAGGAGCUUGCUCCUCUGACGUUAGCGGCGGACGGGUGAGUAACACGUGGAUAACCUACCUAUAAGACUGGGAUAACUUCGGGAAACCGGAGCUAAUACCGGAUAAUAUAUUGAACCGCAUGGUUCAAUAGUGAAAGACGGUUUUGCUGUCACUUAUAGAUGGAUCCGCGCCGCAUUAGCUAGUUGGUAAGGUAACGGCUUACCAAGGCAACGAUGCGUAGCCGACCUGAGAGGGGGAUCGGCCACACUGGAACUGAGACACGGUCCAGACUCCUAAGGGAGGCAGCAGUAGGGAAUCUUCCGCAAUGGGCGAAAGCCUGACGGAGCAACGCCGCGUGAGUGAUGAAGGUCUUCGGAUCGUAAAACUCUGUUAUUAGGGAAGAACAAAUGUGUAAGUAACUAUGCACGUCUUGACGGUACCUAAUCAGAAAGCCACGGCUAACUACGUG
Molecule: ribosomal RNA, 497 nt
Filed under: uncultured bacterium
Lineage: Bacteria
Description: partial 16S ribosomal RNA
Rfam family: Bacterial small subunit ribosomal RNA
Source: RNAcentral